CUCCUUUCUACUCCUCAGCAACCAAAAUAGCAAUAUCAGACAUUUCUCUCAAAAUCCUGAGGUAAUUAACACCUUGCUUCCUCUCACUUUCUGAAAACCUGGAUUGGUGACUGAAUUAUGGGCAGCAAUCUCACCUUGGAAACUAUUUAUAGGAAAAGGUGAAUCUACAAAUGUGGAUAAGCCUGACGAUUUAUUUAGGUUAUUUAGCAUCUUCUUAUAUAUUAUUUUGUGUUAGUCUUGUUUGUUGUUUUGGUCGGUCACGGAUUAGAUGUUCUCACUUUCUAUGGAUUAUUACACUUUAAAAUAGAAUAUUAAUUUAAUUAUGACCAUUGACCCCACUAGUUGAAACUUCAAGCUGAUCCCAUCAAGCCACAUUUUCUUCACCUAUUCAUAUAAAAUUGACUCGUGCCCUUCAAGCUUUGUGUCACUUGGAGCUCUUGAAUUCAACCUAAUUUCUUGCUACAACUUGUAUUUAUACAUUAUUACAUAUUUUAUCAAAUUAUUUCUAACAAUACCAAGGAACCAAUGCCCUAAAAAAAUAAUAGAAUCAUACAAAAUUCUAAACUAGUUUAUUUAAAAUAAAAAAAUUACAUAAAAAGUUUUCUUGGAUCAAAGCAAAUCAAUUCAAACUAAGGGUUUUUUUUUUAGAUAAUUUUAAAAAAAUAUUCAAUUAUAAACAUGGAUUGUAAUUGAGAAAAUACUAAUGCUUUCCUACGAAGUAAAGUGAUGGGAAAGGGAGGGUAGUUUGGUAAUAGGAAUAGGGGCAAGCCGUGGCUUUCAGCCGUCGGCGGGCGCCCACCAUUUCUCUUGCAGCAGUUUUGGCUUCAAGAAAUGGCAGGAGUCCCCUGUUUUUUUAUAAAGCCAAGAAUAAAUAUCAAGUUGAACAUCAUUAUUAUUGAAUAAGUAAAUUUCAUUUUUUUCAAUUAAUAAUUUUAUCCAAAAAUUGGGGGAUUUUUCC
RNAcentral lists this long non-coding RNA (958 nucleotides) under Populus trichocarpa (black cottonwood). RNAcentral's name for it is "long non-coding RNA (PTRI_LNC004801)". The record is from RNAcentral. Lineage: Eukaryota; Viridiplantae; Streptophyta; Magnoliopsida; Malpighiales; Salicaceae.